Molecule: long non-coding RNA, 1415 nt
Filed under: Equus caballus (horse)
Lineage: Eukaryota; Metazoa; Chordata; Mammalia; Perissodactyla; Equidae
Description: lncRNA (ENSECAG00000042017.2)
Source: RNAcentral
AUUAGAUGUGCUCACACUGAUUCCCUACGAGACAGAUGAGAGAGACGAGCUCAGAAAGAAAUAGCCUGAAAGCAGACGAUGCAGGAUUUAUCCCGGAGCUCGAUCCCUGCUGGCUGGACCAGCUUGGAGUCACAUAUGAGGCAAAAGAGAUUUUAGCUACAUUUAUGGCUUUCAAUAAAGAUGAAAAACAAAAUUAAGUAUGUAUUUAUGUUGAGCAAUUUUAAAGAAAGACUCAGACUGGGCACGUCAUUCUCUCAGGUGAUAAAUUCCUGCUUUCAGCUAUGGAAAGACAACAUUACAAGUUUCGCAAGUAUUUACAAGCAUUACAGCUAUGAUUCUCUUAAUUUAAGUCCUGCUUCAGUCUCCUGGUCAAAUAACAGACCUGGUUCAUCAGUGUUCAAGUUGUUUUGUGUUUCAAAUCUCCAAAUCUUUGACCCUUACUCCAAGAAAGUUUAGAAUAAGUAUCAGAAAUGAGAGAGAAGCAAUAAAAAUGAGCAUUCCACUUUGAUCUAUUUCGAAUAUUUUGUGGUGCAAACAGAGAAUACUAGAGGAAGAAAUGGGUCUUCUUCAAAGCAGUAUUUUAAAUAGUGUAUGACAGCCAAUUACUGAAUCUUGCUGGGACUUGCACACUUUUUACUUCAAAUGACAAUGCAGAGGAAGCAGCAUUUCUGUCUACAGAUAACUUCUUUGAUGAGAAUAUUUAAGCAUUAAAACUGGAAGAAUAGAAUUAUAAUGGAAUUACACAAACCUCUGUACCUGGCUUUACUGAAACCAUUUGCUCCGGGUGUUAUUAAGUAUUUAAACUUUGCCAGUAUAUUUUAAACCAUGUAACUUCAAAAGAUAAAACCUAAAAGUUGCUGAUUGGAGGUACUGAAUAUUUGAAAAGUGCCUGGGUGAAUAUCAUCAAGAGAUCAUUUACAUUGAAGUAGAGAUAAAAUAAUGAAAUAAUAGCUUCACCAUAAAUCUACUUUGGAAGGUCUUUUUUUUAGGAAAAUAAUUGAUAAACACCUUGCAGUAGAAGUUAAAACUCUCACAACAACAGCCUAGAGAACACAAAUGGUGGAUAAGUAGUACAACAUGAGAAAAUGAGAGGAAGAGAAAGAACAGAAGAAAGAAGAAGGAAAAGGGAGAGAACAGCCAGGACGUGUUCCGAAGGUGCAGAUAAAUGGCAUGUAAAAAGUCCUCACCUUGGGAUGGUCAAAGGACUUUAAAACUUCAAUGAACAAGGUCUAUCAAUCACUUAGAAGGGUUUCGGUGAUCUGCUACAUGAACACCAACUCUUCCACCCUCUCCUCUUACCAUAUCUCUAGUAAAUGUGACAAAAUGCAACUGCGCAUGAGUGAGAACUUUUUGCCAAUAUUAAAGAAAAGGCUGAAUUUUACAUCUAGGUUUUCUAGCACAAAACUCAGGCAUCG